Capsicum annuum is the source of this 3905-nucleotide long non-coding RNA. RefSeq lists it as uncharacterized. The record is from RefSeq and is a predicted model, not a curated record. NCBI's taxonomy places the organism in Eukaryota, Viridiplantae, Streptophyta, Magnoliopsida, Solanales, Solanaceae. The transcript is spliced from 5 exons.
CCACAUAAGGAAUACAGAGAAAGGACAGAUGGAGAAUAGUAAGCACAACUUCCAUUUUCCACAUACACAACAAUUCCACAAACACACAGAACACCCCUCUUCAUAUACUCCCAAUUUCUAUUCACUAACAGAGCACACCACUCCAUCAUCAAUACGCACUCUAUUUUUGGAAGAAGACGGAAAAAAGGAUUUUUCAUUGGAGGAUCCUUCUUCAUUCAUAAACACAGGUACACAGAGAGUCCAGAAAAGGAGCCCAUCUUCUAUUCUAUACAAAAAAUCACAUACACACGCACAGAAAGGAGAAAUCAAAAGAAAUAGGGGAAGCUUGCGAUUUCCGGUGAUAAACAGCGAAGCCUGUACGAGAUUUGUCGUUCUUCUUGAGUUUUUCUGGUGAACCUUUCAGCGGAAGUAGUUCACAAGUCAUUUUCUGCUCAGCCUCUAUAGAUGAAAGGGAAAUGGAAGAUUGUUUCUUCGAUUUCGAGGAGACUGGUGAACCUCCCAAGCUUAUAAAAAUCCACUUACUGACCUUCGUGCAGUACGGUAAGAGGCCUAGUCAGCAUCACAAUAAGCAGCGAGAGAGAAGAAGGGAUGUUGCAUAAAUUGACUGAGAGUCAAAACAACAAAACACAGGUCCAGUCAAGUAGAACUUGACGAAGGAUCUAACGAAGAAGAAGCUGGAGAAAAGUGUGAAACAUCAAAUUCAUUGAUUAAAUCUAAGGUGAAUAUGAAGAGUGACGAUAAUAAACAUGAGUGGAAUCCAUAGCUGGUGGAGUUCUGGUGGUAAACCAGAAAAUGCUAAAGAAGUAGUGACUCUAUCCGCCAUUAUAGAGAUAGGUCAGAUGAAGGAAAUUGAUAAUCAAGAAGAUGAUUUAUAUGCAAUGACCUACUGUUCUGGUACCAUGUAAAACAAGAGACAAUAUUUGAGAAUUUUUCUUCUCUGUAAAUUCCUUGACAAUCACAUUUAUUUAUACAAGCUAAUGGAAUGAAAAAGAACCUUAUCUUCUAAGCUAAACAAUAAAAAUAAAAAGAAGAAGCUUCUCUUCUAAGAUAAAAAAUAAAAAUAAAGGAACCUUUUAUUCUAAGCUAAUCAAUAAAAGAAAUCAUUCAGCUGUCGUUGGCCCAUGUUCUUGUUUGCUGCUGCAUUGCUGUUGGGCCGCCUAUGUGUCCCAACUGUUAGCCCAAAUGUUCAUUUCAUCUUUCCAUAGAGUGAGAGAGAGGGUGAGAUGGUGAAUAUGAACCAUCAUGAUUUCUAACACAGGUAACAAUUCAAACUAAAAGGGAUAUUGCUCAAAUAAUCUCUGAUGUCCCUUAUGUUUCAGAGGUGACAUCAAAUCUUUUGAGUCUCAGUCAGUUGCAACAGAAAGGGUAUGAGAUUGUCAUUAAAAAUGGAAUUUGUCAGAUUCAAGAUGACAAUUUUGGCUUAAUUGCACAAGUUAAAAUGACUGCAAAUAGAAUGUUUCCUCUCUAUCUCAAUAAUAUACAACAAUCAUACUACUUAGAAAAAUAAAGAGAUGAUGCUUGGUUGUGGUAUUUUCGAUUUGGGCAUCUGAAUUUUGUUGGAUUAAGAACCUUGCAACAGAAGAAUAUUGUGAUUGGUCUUCCUAAAAUUUUAUCUCCAUUUGAAAUUUAUAAAGAGUGUAUGGUUAGCACGCAGUUUUGCAGUUGUUUUCCACAAGAGGUUACAUGGAGAGCAAAGAAGACACUUGAACUUGUCCAUUAUGAUACUUGUGGACCAAUAACACUUUUUAAUGGAGGUAAAAGCUACAUAAUUGCCUUCAUUAAUGAUUUUAAUCAAAAAAGUUGGGUAUACUUUUUGCAGGUAAAAUAUGAAUCUUUUAAGAGCUUUAAAGUACCUGUUGAAAAAGAGAUUGGCAGUCCAAUAAAAGUUCUUCAUUCAGAUCGUGGGAGAGAAUAUAACUCACAUGAAUUUAUAAAUUUUUGUGAGCUUUAUGGAAUCAAGAGGCAACUUACAGCAGCCUACUCGCCCCAACAAAAUAGAGUCUCUGAUAGGAAAAAUUGCACUAUAAUGAACAUAGUGCAGAGCAUUUUGACAAGCAGUUGUGUUUCUAGAAGUUUUUAGCUUGAAGCAGUCAAUAGGAGUAUUCACAUCCCAAAUAGAUGCCCCACAUUUGCAGUAAAAAUAUUACUCCAGAGGAAGCAUGGAGAGGAAAGCUACCAGUCGUAGGUCACUUCAGAAUAUUUGAGUGCAUUGCAUAUGCCCAUAUUCCUGAUCAAAAGAGAAAGAAGCUAGACGACAAGGAAGAAAAAUGUAUUUUUCUCGGUGUUAGUGAUCAAUCAAAAUCUUUCAAGCUUUAUAAUCCUAACACUAAGAAAAUAUUGAUUAGUUGGGAUGUCAUUUUUGAUGAAAAUUAGUUUUGGUCGUGGAAUAAAAAUUCCCCGGGAGAACAAAUUCCAGUUUUCCUUGAUGAAGAAUAUAGUAAAGAAGCAAUUCAACCACAACAAGAAGUUCCAAUAGUUGCCCAAGACUAUAAUCCUAAAGUUCUGAAAUUUCACCAGUUAUGGGAGAGCAGAUAUUCACGUGCCCCUCGUAUUCGAAAAAGGCCAACAUGGAUGACAAAUUAUGAAGUAAGAGGAAUUGAUCAAUCUGAAUAUUAUCUCACUCAUUUUUCUCUAUUUUCAGAUUAUGAUCCAACAAAUUUUGAAAGUGCUGUCAAAGAUGAAAAAUGGCGAUGUAGACACAUAAUUUUAUCCCGUCAAAAAUAUUUCUUAUUCCGAUAUCACACAAUUUAACCCCAUUUUUAUAAUUUUUCCUAAGAAAAUAAAUAACCACCUCAUCUUUUACUUAUUUAUGUAUUUAUUUUUGUUUUUGUUUUGUUUUAUCCAAAUAACAAGUCAUAACAAACUUUGUCCCAUUCUAAUAUUCCAGCAACCCACCCAAGCAAAAAUGGACGCCUAACCUCUACCUCUCCAAUUAAAAAGCAACACCUCACCUCUCACCUAACCACCCCAUACCCCUACCCUUACCCUACCCCACGUAACCCCUCCCUUUUCUUGGCCAUAAAGAAAUACACAAUAUACAUAAGGACACCACCUCAAGGGGGGCCCACGGUAAUAAAGAGAAGGGACACAGAUCACUGAGGGUCUUCUUCAUUAUUGGUAUAUACACUAACAGCUUCCAAAAAAAAUGGAGAAGCAGAGAUAGGCACAAACAACACUAGAGAGACUCGAUCCUUUUCAUCCCCAUUUUUUCUUCUUGACAACAACACAUACUAUUCACCCUUCUUCUCCAUCCAUACACACACAAACUAGUGAAAGAAAAAAAAAACUGGGAUCAUCUUCUUCUCUUCAAAGCACAGACAAACCUUUAGAUAGAAGAUAAAAUGGAGGGGGUUCGAGAUCAGUCAGAAGAGAAAGCAGUAAAUCAGCAAUUUUAGUGUGUUUUGGGCAAGAUCUUUGCUGUAACUUUAUCCAACAUGUGUCGAUUUGUUAGACCGAUCCCGAAAUCGUUGAAACCUCUUCGUUUCUUAUGACUUCCAAGCGAAUCCGACCUAAAAACAUUGAAUUGCGCCAAUGUCCAUCUUUACCCGCUAUUUCGGCUGUCACUGGAGCUCGCCGAAGCUCGGUCCAAGUUAAGUUUCAAUUAUCUGUCAGGUGGUUGGGGUUUUUGGGUUUGUCUAUUUUUGGGUUCGUUGUUGAUAUCGAGUUUUGAGGUUUCGUGAUCAAAUUGCGUCAUAGUUCAUGGUUGGGUUUUGUAUAACAAAGUUUGUCUCACUGGUUUUGAAGCUAUCCGAUUAGCUUUUCUUUAUACCGAGUUGGAUUCAUCGGAAUCGAGGUUUCCUAUUCGAGAUUCCAAGUACGGAUCUUUUUUAACAUUAUUAUCAAUCGAAAUCGACUAUCAAAAGGUCCAAUUCUAUUCGUUUCCUCUUCUACUAUAUUGUUUACUA